This 730-nucleotide ribosomal RNA is filed under the name uncultured bacterium. RNAcentral's name for it is "bacterial SSU rRNA". It matches the Rfam family "Bacterial small subunit ribosomal RNA", at positions 771 to 1501 of the family's 1533-position model. The record is from RNAcentral.
AACAGGAUUAGAUACCCUGGUAGUCCACGCCGUAAACGAUGUCGACUUGGAGGUUGUUCCCUUGAGUAGUGGCUUCCGGAGCUAACGCGUUAAGUCGACCGCCUGGGGAGUACGGCCGCAAGGUUAAAACUCAAAUGAAUUGACGGGGGCCCGCACAAGCGGUGGAGCAUGUGGUUUAAUUCGAUGCAACGCGAAGAACCUUACCUACUCUUGACAUCCACGGAAUUCGGCAGAGAUGCCUUAGCGCCUUCGGGAACCGUGAGACAGGUGCUGCAUGGCUGUCGUCAGCUCGUGUUGUGAAAUGUUGGGUUAAGUCCCGCAACGAGCGCAACCCUUAUCCUUUGUUGCCAGCGAUUCGGUCGGGAACUCAAAGGAGACUGCCGGUGAUAAACCGGAGGAAGGUGGGGAUGACGUCAAGUCAUCAUGGCCCUUACGAGUAGGGCUACACACGUGCUACAAUGGCGCAUACAAAGAGAAGCGACCUCGCGAGAGCAAGCGGACCUCAUAAAGUGCGUCGUAGUCCGGAUCGGAGUCUGCAACUCGACUCCGUGAAGUCGGAAUCGCUAGUAAUCGUGGAUCAGAAUGCCACGGUGAAUACGUUCCCGGGCCUUGUACACACCGCCCGUCACACCAUGGGAGUGGGUUGCAAAAGAAGUAGGUAGCUUAACCUUCGGGAGGGCGCUUACCACUUUGUGAUUCAUGACUGGGGUGAAGUCGUAACAAGGUAACC